This 612-nucleotide ribosomal RNA is filed under the name uncultured fungus. RNAcentral's name for it is "eukaryotic LSU rRNA". It matches the Rfam family "Eukaryotic large subunit ribosomal RNA", at positions 23 to 664 of the family's 3401-position model. The record is from RNAcentral. Lineage: Eukaryota; Fungi.
ACCCGCUGAACUUAAGCAUAUCAUUCAGCGGAGGAAAAGAAACCAACAGGGAUUGCCUCAGUAACGGCGAGUGAAGCGGCAAGAGCUCAGAUUUGAAAUCGGCCGCCCGGCUGAGUUGUAAUCUGCAGAGGAAUGUUCGGCGGAGGUGCUGGCUAAAGUCUUCUGGAAGGGAGCGCCGCAGAGGGUGAGAGCCCCGUUUAGCCAUCGUCCGAUGCUAUGUGUACCUCCUUCGAAGAGUCGAGUUGUUUGGGAAUGCAGCUCAAGAUGGGUGGUAAAUUCCAUCUAAAGCUAAAUAUAAGCCAAAGACCGAUAGCGCACAAGUAGAGUGAUCGAAAGAUGAAAAGCACUUUGGAAAGAGAGUGAAACAGUACGUGAAAUUGUUGAAAGGGAAGCGCUUGUGGUCAGACUUGCGCGCAGCCAUUCAGCCGUCCUCUGGGCGGUGCACUUGGCUGCGUUCGGGCCAGCAUCGGUUUGAGCAGCCGGAUAAAGGUUGGAGGAAUGUGGCUCUUCGGAGUGUUAUAGCCUCCUUCACAAUACGGCUAGUUCGGACCGAGGACAGCGUUCGCUAGGAUGCUGGCGUAAUGGCCAUCAGCGACCCGUCUUGAAACACGG